This 222-nucleotide ribosomal RNA is filed under the name uncultured bacterium. RNAcentral describes it as "partial 16S ribosomal RNA". It matches the Rfam family "Bacterial small subunit ribosomal RNA", at positions 96 to 334 of the family's 1533-position model. The record is from RNAcentral.
UGGCGGACGGGUGAGUAACGCGUAAGAACCUGCCCUUGGGAGGGGGACAACAGCUGGAAACGGUUGCUAAUACCCCAUAGGCUGAGGAGCGAAAGGAGGAAUCCGCCUAAGGAGGGGCUUGCGUCUGAUUAGCUAGUUGGUGAGGCAAUGGCUUACCAAGGCGACGAUCAGUAGCUGGUCUGAGAGGAUGAUCAGCCACACUGGGACUGAGACACGGCCCAG